UGGUCCGUCCCAGUCCCUGCUGGUCAGCCUGUAGUCUGCUGGGUUUCGCCUGGGGACCAGAUCAUUCCAGAAGCCUCACCCAGGGAAGUGAGCUAGGCUUCAGGAGGCUUGUUCCAGGGGUGCUUCUAGACUUCA
Molecule: small nucleolar RNA, 135 nt
Organism: Zalophus californianus (California sea lion)
Lineage: Eukaryota; Metazoa; Chordata; Mammalia; Carnivora; Otariidae
Source: Ensembl